UGCAGUCGAGCGAAUGGAUUGAGAGCUUGCUCUCAWGAAGUUAGCGGCGGACGGGUGAGUAACACGUGGGUAACCUGCCCAUAAGACUGGGAUAACUCCSGGAAACCGGGGCUAAUACCGGAUAACAUUUUGAACUGCAUGGUUSGAAAUUGAAAGGCSGCUUCSGCUGUCACUUAUGGAUGGACCCRCGUCRCAUUAGCUAGUUGGUGAGGUAACGGCUCACCAAGGCAACGAUGCRUAGCCRACCUGAMAGGGUGAUCGGCCACWCUGGGACUGASACACGGCCCASACUCCUACGGGAGGCAGMARUARGGAAUCUUCCGCAAUGGACGAAAGUCUGACGGAGCAACRCCGCGUGAGUGAUGAAGGCUUUCGGGUCGUAAAACUCUGUUGUUAGGGAAGAACAAGUGCUAGUUGAAUAAGCUGGCACCUUGACGGUACCUAACCAGAAAGCCACGGCUAACUACGUGCCAGCAGCCGCGGUAAUACGUASGUGGCAAGCGUUAUCCGGAAUUAUUGGGCGUAAAGCGCGCGCAGGUGGUUUCUUAAGUCUGAUGUGAAARCCCACGGCUCAMCCGUGGAGGGUCAUUGGAAACUGGGAGACUUGAGUGCAGAAGAGGAAAGUGGAAUUCCAUGUGUAGCGGUGAAAUGCGUAGAGAUAUGGAGGAACACCAGUGGCGAAGGCGACUUUCUGGUCUGUAACUGACACUGAGGCGCGAAAGCGUGGGGAGCAAACAGGAUUAGAUACCCUGGUAGUCCACGCCGUAAACGAUGAGUGCUAACUGUUAGAGGGUUUCCGCCCUUUAGUGCUGAAGUUAACGCAUUAAGCACUCCGCCUG
This 839-nucleotide ribosomal RNA is filed under the name Bacillus sp. ZK4755. RNAcentral describes it as "partial 16S ribosomal RNA". It matches the Rfam family "Bacterial small subunit ribosomal RNA", at positions 56 to 875 of the family's 1533-position model. Lineage: Bacteria; Bacillati; Bacillota; Bacilli; Caryophanales; Bacillaceae. The record is from RNAcentral.